Scleropages formosus (Asian bonytongue) is the source of this 2300-nucleotide long non-coding RNA. The record is from Ensembl. Lineage: Eukaryota; Metazoa; Chordata; Actinopteri; Osteoglossiformes; Osteoglossidae.
GAGGAUUACGUAUGUAGGGGCAGAGCAUCUCUCCCGCUCCCUCUCUUUGCCUCUGUCUCCUCCUCUCUCUAUAAGUGCCCGGCUCCAUCCUUUCCCAUUCACACGCUGCUCCGGCACGAGAGAGGAGGUACGCAGGGAAGACCGCGGCCAGGGAAGCGGCGGGACACAGAUAUUGGACGUUUGUCUCUAGACCGCUCCAUCCCUCCCUGUCUCCACCCCCAUCCCCUUCCACCUUCUCCCCUUCUCUCUCUCCUCCCUUUUCCUCUGUGCCUUUUACGCUCCCUCUCUCCCCGCACCCCCCCGCUCUCUCUCCCUUGGUCGACCGACAGCUGCGUCCGUGCGACAUGGGUUGUGGAAAUUCCUCAGCCACCAGCACCUCGGGGGGAGGUCCCGCUGACGUUUCGAAGGACGUCGAAGGAAGGUAAUCGUCGCCGUAUCCUUGAAACCAAAACACUCCGGUGAGGCCCGCUGACAGCGAAUGAAAGCACCCGCCCACUCGUCGAUCAAGGAGCGCAUCGAGUGCUGUGAUGCUGAAAUGCGGUCGUCCUUCACGUUCACUUCAAAACUAACAGAACAAACACACAUGCUGAUUCAGUGGCCAGGCAGCAGGUCAGCAAUGGAAGUGAUGGAACAAGAACACAGUCUUUGUUUCAUUGGGUUCAGGACAGAUGAACUCUCCCCAGACGACGAGAAACGAAGGAAUUACGGCGGGGUAUAUGUGGGCCUGCCAGCCGACUUGAGCACCGUCACUGCGGGCCAGUCCAAGUCCACGAGCAAAGAUUAACGGAGGGACGGUGAAGCGGACACAUUUACAAGUGUUCCUGGACAGAACCUGUUUCCUGCAGGCGUUCUCGAGCACCGCCCAUGGUGCGGAGCAGUGGUCUUGGCUAGAAUUAACGAGUCAGCGGUUCGGACCCUUUCACCGGAUCCCCAAAGCGAAAACGGACGGCUUUCGACGGCAAUCGGGCCCUGCGCUGAAACAAAGGACACCCGGCAACUGCAGCGGCACGUCACCUUAACCUGCACCUCGAUCUCUGGACCGUUACCGCUCGACCGAGGUGAAGCCACGACGUUAGCGGGUGGUCAUGCGAUGCAUCAUGGGAGUCAGCCCGUUACCUCCGCCGUGCCCUGGCACUUACCACUCAGGAGCAAAAAACCGCUUUGCGCUCAAAGCCAUCUGAGGAAAUUGCGAUCUUUAAUUUCCAUUUUAGCGUCCUUUUCGUUCCAAACGUACGUGGCAAAUUUUCUCCUGCUAUGUCAGUUCCGAGCCCUACGGGUCAAUUUUGCGGAGCAGAACUGACCGCAAAGUGCCCCUAGGAGUCGAGCGAAAAUGGAAGCCUGCCACUGACCUAUUUAACCCCAGGAUGGGUACGAUAUAGAGGAUGAGUGCAGACCGGCUAAUUAUUAAGAAGGAUUAGAAAAAAAAAUCAGUGCAGUUUUUUCUUUGGGUCUCAACUGUUUAGCUGGGUCAUCGGCAAACCGCACCACCCUCCAGCAUCACGGCAGAGUCAGAGUAGGUGGGGAGGCUUCGGGAAAAACCAAAAACAGGUUGAGGCUGCCCACAGGUCACACUCUUUUUACAAAGUCCUCAGAUAUGUAAGAAAACAACAAUAAUCUGUUAUCUUUUACUGAGCGUCUUCAUGCAAACAAAAGUGUUCCACCUGAUUUUUAAGCAGCGAUAGCGGGUGGGACACACUUUGUGCUCACGUCUAGCCAAAGGCUCUGAAUCUGAUGCUUGAGGGUUUGAGGGACAGGUUUCUGUAACACUUUAUAGAAGAAUAAUUUGUGUGACUGAUGCUGAACCCGUGUGUCGCGGUAAUAACCGAAUACGCUAAUGUCUGUUCAGAGGUAGUGUCUUAUCUUUACUACGGUCCACUAUUGAUGUGUGUUUUUGCAAUAUGUUUGAACUUAUCACCCUCCAGUUGGUAUUUGCUUGUGAUUUCAGAUGCCUUAUUUUGAUAUUUGUGAGAUGAGCAGUAGAAAAUAAUAAUAUAUGUAGAAACGAAAGUUCACGUUUUAAAUUUUGUAAAAAGGAAAAAAACUAAGUCUCAGCCCUCAUUUGGUGCUCAUGUUAUUUUCUGAGAAAGAAGGUCAUAUUUUCGAUGGACCCUGCAGAAGAUGCAGCAGCCAUCCCACCAAAACCUUUCCGGCAAUUUCCGAGAUGUCGGUUGUUUCUGGUAGAACCUUUGGAAUGUGUAAAUUUGUUUAGUUUUACGAACGUCACGUUAUCUCAGAGCCUUGACGAAAUUAAAAAUAGCAGUGCUGUGGGUGGGGGGGGGGGGGUGUCUAGAAAGGGCCGC